UCCCCGUUACCGGGGCAGUCUGGCUAGAAAAAUUCAACUAACCAUAAGGGUUGCGCUCGUUGAUGGACUUAACCAAACAUCUCACGACACGAGCUGAAGACGGCCAUGCAACACCUGUCAUUGGGCUCCCGAAGGCACUCUCGGCUUUCACCAAAAUUCCCAAGAUGUCAAACCCUGGUAAGGUUCUACGCUUAACAUCGUAUUAAACAACACGCUCCACCGCUUGUGCGGGUCCCCGUCAAUUCCUUUGAGUUUUAAACUUGCGUUCGUACUACCCAGGCGGGAUGCUUAACGCGUUAGCUUCGCAACAAACCGGGUCGAUACGGCUUACUGCUAGCAUCCAUAGUUUACAGCGUGGACUAC
RNAcentral lists this unclassified non-coding RNA (363 nucleotides) under uncultured bacterium. Its description in RNAcentral is "contains 16S-23S intergenic spacer region". The record is from RNAcentral.